CCUACGGGUGGCUGCAGUGGGGAAUAUUGCGCAAUGGGGGAAACCCUGACGCAGCAACGCCGCGUGAGUGAUGAAGGUCUUCGGAUUGUAAAGCUCUGUCUUUGGGGACGAUAAUGACGGUACCCAAGGAGGAAGCCACGGCUAACUACGUGCCAGCAGCCGCGGUAAUACGUAGGUGGCAAGCGUUGUCCGGAUUUACUGGGCGUAAAGAGUAUGUAGGCGGAUAUUUAAGUCAGAUGUGAAAUUCCCGGGCUUAACCUGGGCGCUGCAUUUGAAACUGGGUAUCUAGAGUGCGGGAGAGGAAAGUGGAAUUCCUAGUGUAGCGGUGAAAUGCGUAGAGAUUAGGAAGAACACCAGUGGCGAAGGCGACUUUCUGGACCGUAACUGACGCUGAGAUACGAAAGCGUGGGGAGCAAACAGGAUUAGAUACCCCAGUAGUC
This 440-nucleotide ribosomal RNA is filed under the name uncultured Clostridium sp. Its description in RNAcentral is "bacterial SSU rRNA". It matches the Rfam family "Bacterial small subunit ribosomal RNA", at positions 338 to 795 of the family's 1533-position model. The record is from RNAcentral. Lineage: Bacteria; Bacillati; Bacillota; Clostridia; Eubacteriales; Clostridiaceae.